This is an RNA transcript of Cygnus atratus (black swan), 636 nucleotides long. It is a transcript of the gene named lymphocyte antigen 6E-like, with no coding region annotated. The record is from RefSeq and is a predicted model, not a curated record. The transcript has 4 exons. NCBI's taxonomy places the organism in Eukaryota, Metazoa, Chordata, Aves, Anseriformes, Anatidae.
AAUAACACAUGAUCCCUGCCCAUUCUUUCAAAAUUGCUGUCUUCAUAAUCACUCAGUCCAAAUGCAGGGAAGAUAUAUAUCCUGUCCCCAGAUGCGGGUGCUUUUCCUGGGCUGCGGACACAACUGGGAAAUGAUGAAGGCCUUGCUCCUCGCCGUGCUGGCUUUGAUCCUAUGUGCAGAGCAAGCAGAUGCCCUGUACUGCUACACCUGCGAGUGGGAGCAAAGCAACUGGAGCUGUCUGAAGGCCCAGAAGUGCUCGGACAAGGAUGAGUACUGUGUGACAAAUGUUGCCUCCGUAGGGAUCGGCUUUUUGUCUCUGUGGAAGAGGAUCACCAAGAAGUGCUCUGGGAGCUGCCCGUACCACAACUUCAGCCUGGGUCUGGCCACCUACACCUCGUACUGCUGCCAGACCUUCCUGUGCAACCUGAGCGCCUGCCCAGGGCCCAGGCUAGCUCGUCCUUGAGAUGCUGGGGGUCCUGUGUCAGUGUCCUUCUUCACUGGUGGUGGGGAGAAAGGGGCUCCUGAUGGCCUGAAGAGCAUGGAUGGAUUCCCCCAGGAGGCUACGCUGCGCUGCGAGGGCAGAUCUCCACGCCGAAGAAGCUGUGCUGGCGAUGCACCUCCCUUUACCUCUUCAUU